Molecule: small nuclear RNA, 107 nt
Filed under: Diabrotica virgifera virgifera (western corn rootworm)
Lineage: Eukaryota; Metazoa; Arthropoda; Insecta; Coleoptera; Chrysomelidae
Source: RNAcentral
GUACUCGCUUCGGCGGUACAUAUACUAAAAUUGGAACGAUACAGAGAAGAUUAGCAUGGGCUCUGCGCAAAGAUGACACGCAAAAUCGUGAAGCGUUCCACAUUUUU